RNAcentral lists this long non-coding RNA (443 nucleotides) under Hordeum vulgare. RNAcentral describes it as "long non-coding RNA (HVUL_LNC018846)". The record is from RNAcentral. Lineage: Eukaryota; Viridiplantae; Streptophyta; Magnoliopsida; Poales; Poaceae.
AUAUUCUUGCUCCCGAUAUGGGUACACCUGGUGUUGUAUCUGGAAACUUCAACAAGCACUCUACAGAUAACUGAUUGUGUAUAACUUCCGAGUUAAAUAAAGAGAAUGUGAUUUUCACGCAGACUAGUGAGAAGGAUGUCAUCGUCCCUGUUCCUUACCAUCAAGCAAUGAUUCGCGGAAUGGAGCCUGCAUUAGCUGCUUCCGGACUUGAGUGCGUUACUGAGCCUGCAGCAAAUAAUAACCCGACAGUAUCAGUUGAAUUUUCCAUUGUUUAAGGAAGAGUUGAUUACUCCCUCCAUUCCAUAAUGCUGUGUGUAUAGUUUUUUUUAAGUCAAAGUUUGCAAACUUUACCACGUUUAUAGAGAAAACUAUUUAUAUCUACGGCACAGAUAUUGUAGAUAUUGUAACUACAACUUACGAUGAAUCUAAUGAUAUAUUUACGG